GUCUACGGCCGUGCCCCGCUGAACGUGCCCCAUCUCGUCCGGUCUCGGAAGCUAAGCAGGGUCAGGCCUGGUUAGUACUUGGAUGGGAGACCACCUAGGAAGACCAGGUGCUUGUAGGCG
RNAcentral lists this ribosomal RNA (120 nucleotides) under Pteropus alecto (black flying fox). The record is from RNAcentral. Lineage: Eukaryota; Metazoa; Chordata; Mammalia; Chiroptera; Pteropodidae.